Molecule: long non-coding RNA, 4374 nt
Organism: Sapajus apella (tufted capuchin)
Lineage: Eukaryota; Metazoa; Chordata; Mammalia; Primates; Cebidae
Exons: 2
Source: RefSeq, a predicted model, not a curated record
UGCUUUUGGUGUUUUGGUCAUGAAGUCCUUGCCUACGCCUAUGUCCUGAAUGGUUUUGCCUAGGUUUUCUUCUAGGGUUUUUAAUGGUGUUAGGUCUUAUGUUUAAGUCUUUAAUCCACCAGAUGAGCAUUUCUUAUAAGAUAGGUCUAGUGUUGAAGUCCCUCAGCUUUUGUUUUUCUGUGAAAAUCUUUAUUUGAGGGAUAUUUUUAUACUAUUCUAAGAUAAAAGAUUUUUCUUAAGCACUUUAAAUAUUUCAUGUUCUGUAAAGUUUCCACUGAGAAGUCUUCUGCCAGAUAUAUUGGAGCUCCAUUGUAUGUUGUUUCUUUUCUCUUGCUACUUUUAGGAUCUUUUUGCUUAAUCUUUUGGAGUUCGAUUAUUUAGUGCUUUGAGGUAGCCUAAUUUGGGUUAAAUCUCCUUGAUGUUCUGUAACCUUCUUAUAUGUUCAUAUUGAUCUCUUUCUAUGUUGUUAUACCUUUGAAUAAACUUCAUACCUUCACCUCACUAUUUUCUUUUUAAGAACAGUGACUCUUGGAGUUACCCUUUUGAGGGUAUUUUGUAGGUCUUGUAGGCUUGCUAAUUUCUUUCUUACUCUUUUUUAUCUCCUCUGACUCUGUAUUUUUAAAUAGUCUGUCUUCAUGCUCACUCACUGUAUCUUCUGCGUAAUAAAUUGUGCUGUUGAGAGACCCUGAUGUAUAUCAUCAUAUCAAUGGACUUUUCGACUCUAGAAUUUCUCCUUAACUUUAUUAAAUUUGUGCAGUCUGUUAACUUUAUUUAAUAGGAAUCUGAAUUUCGUCUCUGUUAUCUUCAGUUUCAUUGAGCUAACUCAAAAAUAGCUAUUUUGAAUACUGUAUCUUAAAAGCCACAUAUCUCUGUCAUUCCAAUAUUUAUCAUUUUUGCCUUAUUUAGUUUCUUUGGUGAGGUCAUCUUUUCCUGGAUGUUCUUAAUGCUUAUGGAUGUUCGCUGAUUUUUGGUCAUUAAAAGUUACGUAUUUUUUGUAGUCCUUGCAGUGUGGGCUUCUUUGUAUGCAUUCUUCUUAGUAAGGUUUUCUAAGUAUUCAAUGGGAACGGACUGUUGUGAUCUAAGUCUCUAGUUGCUGCAGCAGUAUCUGCAUUAGGUGGUACCCCAAGCCUAGUAAUGUUGUGACUCUUGCAGACUUAUAAGUAGAGAUCUGCCUUGCUGGUCUUGGUAAGAUCCAAGAGAAUUCCCUGGAUUACCAGGCAGAAUCUCUUGUUUUCUACCCUUUCCCCUAAAUGGGGUCUGUUUGUGUUGAGCUGCAUGGGGCUGGGAUAAAGAUGACACAAAGCACCACUGUGGCCACUACCACUGGGACUAUACUGGGUCAGAACCAAAGCCACCACAACACUGGGUCUUGCCUAAGGCCAACAGUGACCACCGCCUGGCUACUGCUGAUGUUUACUCAAGGCCUAAGGGCUCCCCGGUAGGUGUCAGUCAAUAGUUGACAAAUUUAGCCAGGCUUGUUGCCUUCCCUUGAGGGUGGCAAGCUACCCCCUGGGCCAGGGCCUGGAGUCAGGAGCCUUAGGUAUCUACUUGAUGCUCUAUUCUAUUGGGGCUGAAUUAGCACUCAAGCCGCAAGUCCUUCCCACUCUUCUCUCACCUUUCUUCAUGAUAAGAUGUCUUCCUGUGUCAUCCACCGCCCCAGGACUGUAAUUAGUAUUGCUGGGAUACUGCUGAUGUUCACUCAAGUUUCAAGGGCUCUUUAGUCAUCUUGUGGUGAAUACUGCCAGGCCUGGGUCUCUCCUUUUAGGGUAGUGAGGUCCCUUCAGGCCCAGGGCUCGUCUAGAAAUGGCAUCCCAGAGCCAAGGCCUGGAAUUGAGGACCCCAGGAGCCCAUAUGAUACUCUGUCCUAGGAAAGAAGUAGUUUUAGAAACUUUAAGUUAAGGUCAUCAAAAUAUGCUUUUAUCAAGUAAUUAUAAUCAAAUCAGUUCUGGUAAGGUCCUGUAGCAUUGCAGUAUCAUUGCAAAAAUAUGUUUUGGGAUCUCUGACAUCCCAUUAUUUUGGGUGCUAGUCUUACUAGAGUGUGAUUCUUAUGAGAGGAGAGAUCAUAUAUAACUUCAUAAUUAACAUUUUCUUUUAUUAUCAUUGUAGCCAAAAAUCACAGUAAUAUAAUUUAUCCAUAUUAUGCCUUUAUUUGAGACUAAAAAUUAAAGACAGGGUUUUGUUUUAUUUAGAGAUUCUCAGAAUUGAAUAAACUAUCAGGCAGAUACAUCAAGUCAAUAUGUUAUAUGAAAGAAUUGGAAAUGAAUAAUGAAUAAUUAUAUUUAGCUUUCCUAUGUAUUUUCCUGAAAAGAAUGCAAGUAAGGUUUACAAACAGAAAACAAUUGUUGAAGAUCUUUUCACUUAGAGUUGAUAUUAUUUUUCAGACUGACUUUGGGGAGUCCAUUCCUCUUAGGCUGUUAGCACAUUUUUAUUAAGUAACUUUCGUUAUUUUAACAUCUUUCAUUGUAGGGUGGGCUGCGAAGGUUUCUCUGACAAAGUAUUAGUGUAUUUUAAUGAGUUUGAUGCCACCAAACUUAAGGUGCACCAUAUAAUUAUAUGCUUUAUUAACUAUUCAAGUUCGUAUCAGCUGUAAAACACAUGCUUGUUUCAGAGAUGUAAAAAUGUGUGUGUUGGGGGAGUUUUUAUAAUGAGUGAAAUGGGGAAUUUGAGAAGCCAUGCUAUUUAGAGGAAGUGGUGACCAGAUAAGAAGGCACAUUAGUUGUAAAGGCCAACGAUGACUAGUUAAAGAAGGCCAGUAUGGUUGGAGCAGAGUAGACGGGGAAAAGGAAAGUUGUAGUGAGGUCUGGUUGUGGAGAGCCUUGCGGAUCAUCCUUAAGGACUUGGACUUUAAUGCUGAGUGAGAUGGGAAGUUACUGGAGGUUUGAACAGAGGAGUGAUUUGAUCCUUGCAACAGGAUCACUUGGGCUGCUGUGUUAAGAAUAGAUUGUAGGAGCCAGGGAUGGAAGCAGGAAAAUAGAAUCAGGCAGCCUUUGAAGGCUGUUGCACGUAAUCCAGAUGAGAAAUGGUGGUGGCUUGGAUCAGAGUUACAGUGGUAGAGAUUAUGAAAAGCACUUGGAUUCUGGAUUUCUUUCGAAGGCAGAACUGACAAGAUUUGCAGAUUUGCUAAUGAAUUCCUAUGGAGUAUGAGAGAAAUAAUGAAUCAGAUGAUUCAGGUCUAAGCACCUGUAUUGUUACCAUUUAGAGAAAUGUGGAAUCCUACAGGAGAAGUUGAGGAAGGCAAAUCAGAUGAUCAGUUUUGGAUUAUGUUGAGAAGCCUCUUAGGCAUUACAAGAAGAUAAUAGAGCAACUAAGAAAAAGUCUAGAGACGAGGGUAGAGGGCCCAGUUGGAGUUAUAUGCAUGUGUGCACAUGAGUGUAUGUAUAACGUAGGGCAUGUAUGUGUGAGAGUUUAUCAUUUGAUUCUUGCAUUUUUGACUGUUGCUUCAGAAUUCCAUUUUUCCCCUUCUGUUUUCUGUGAUUUUAUCAUUAGAGGUUUUCUCCAAAUGUCUGAGCUUUGGCUGUCCUUAGCAAUGAGGUAUAAGGAGAGAUUAAGCAGCUGGCUUCUAUAAAGGACUUUUGUGAAGGAAGAAAGAGUAGAGUUAACCAAUGGUCUAUUUUUAAGUAUAAUUUUUAUUUUUUAACUUUUUAUUUUGAAAUCAUUUUACAUAGAAGAGUUGCAAAAAUAAUGUAGGUAACUCUUAUAAGUACCUAAGUUCAGAAAAUUAUGUAAAUGAUGUAGUGUUUUUCUCAGGGUAUCACAUCAGAGACAUAGAUAGUGUUGAUCCCUCAUUUGACAUUAAUUUCAAUAAUUCAGCAAAGGACCAAGGGUUGUCUAGUUUUUCUGCUUUGUAGUUUCUGUAUCCUUGAAACUAGAAGGUAAGAUCCAUGGAAGAUACAUUAAAACUGUGUAAACAGUAAGAUACCAUCUCACACCUGUCAGAAUGGCUAUUAUUAAAAAGUGAAAGAAACAACAGAUGCUGAGGUUGCAGAGAAAAGGGAACACUUGUAUAUUGUUGGUGGGACUGUAAAUUAGUUCAACCCUUGUGGAAAGCAGUAUGGUGAUUUCUCACAGAGCUAAAAGCGAAACUACCAUUGAACCGAGCAGUCUUAUUAUUGGGUAUAUACGCAGAGGAAUAUAAAUCCUUCUACCAUAAAGACAUAUGUACUUGAAUGUUCAUUGCAGCACUGUUCACAAUUAAAAAAAGAAAAAGACAUGGAGUCAACCUAAAUGUCCAUCAGUGACAGUUUGGAUAAAGAAAAUGUGGUAUAUAGACACCAUGGAAUACUCUGCAGCCAUAAAAAGAAUGAGAUCAUGUGUUUUGCAGGAAUGUGGAUGGAGCUAGAGACCGUUAUCCUUAGCAUAGUAAUGCAGAAACAG